CCUACGGGAGGCAGCAGUGGGGAAUAUUGCACAAUGGGGGAAACCCUGAUGCAGCGACGCCGCGUGAGUGAAGAAGUAUUUCGGUAUGUAAAGCUCUAUCAGCAGGGAAGAAACCCACCCUCCGGGUUUUCUGCCGGUACCUGACUAAGAAGCCGCGGCUAACUACGUGCCAGCAGCCGCGGUAAUACGUAGGGGGCAAGCGUUAUCCGGAUUUACUGGGGGUAAAGGGAGCGUAGGUGGCAAGGCAAGUCAGAUGUGAAAACCCGGGGCCCAACCCCGGGAGUGCAUUUGAAACUGUCUGGCUAGAGAGCAGGUGCGGUAAGUGGAAUUCAUAGUGUAGCGGUGAAAUGCAUAGAUAUUA
This 361-nucleotide ribosomal RNA is filed under the name uncultured bacterium. RNAcentral's name for it is "partial 16S ribosomal RNA". It matches the Rfam family "Bacterial small subunit ribosomal RNA", at positions 338 to 699 of the family's 1533-position model. The record is from RNAcentral.